Molecule: long non-coding RNA, 2888 nt
Organism: Panicum virgatum (switchgrass)
Lineage: Eukaryota; Viridiplantae; Streptophyta; Magnoliopsida; Poales; Poaceae
Exons: 5
Source: RefSeq, a predicted model, not a curated record
UUUGACAAUGGAUUGGAUUUUUUUUGGACAAUGGAUUGGAUUUGCAAGAACCGGCCACUCCCCUCCCGAUCGCGCCCCGGCUCCCCCCAAUCCGAGGUCCGAGCGCGCAAACCCUAACUCCGCGCGAUCUUAAUGCGCAGGGGCCCCGGCGGCGAGGCAUCGCUCCGCCGGCGCUGCUCUGGGUGGCCGUGGCGGCGCUGGUGGCCUGCGUGAUCUGGCUCUGCUGCUGCUCCUCCUCCGUAGGCCUACUCGGCACAUCACACAGGGUCCAGUGGUUUUGUAGGCAUUUAUGAUGUUUCCCACUUCAUCAAGACAUUGAAAUAUGAUGUUCGACUUGUUAUGAGCAUUCCAGAAAUCACUCCAAAUGGAAAGACCAAGAAACUCAAGGCACAUCAGCGAAACCGUGUAUCAGCCCGUACCCAACCCAGAUGGACCCGUCAUCCUGGUCCCUAGUCUGGGUUGAAUACGGACCAGUAUGGACCCACAUGAAGGAGAAGGUGGUCCAUUGGUUUGUGGGUUCGACCUGUGAAAAACACGGAGGCCGCAAACCAGUAUGAUGGAGGCUGCAGCGACGGGCGGCGGCUGGCGGCCGUGAUGAAGAUGAUUCCUCGAGGUGGAGUCUGCGCUUGCGGUUGAGGCAGCAUGGGAACUAAAGGAGGCUGUUGCCUCCAUGGAUGGAUCCCUGAAUAUGGAUGCGGUCACGUCGCUGGAUCUCCAUCGAGUUCGGCGGCGAUGGGUCGAUCUCCGCUGAGGCGCUGACAAGGUUUGCCUUCCAUCCUUCUUGUGUCGAUGGCUUCCUUUUUUUCCAUGUUUGCUCAUUGUUCGUGGAUUGUCUUCAAUGAUGAACCCUAGCUCAGAUCGAGUCCAAGAUUCAAUUUAUAGGAACUCACUUGUUCGUGGAUUGUUCAUCUAGUAGCUGCUUUGCUGCCUUAGUUUGAGAUGCGAAACUAGAGCUUGUCCACCCACCUUGGGGGAGGCACGGACGAGGAGGAUUGUGAGGUAGGACGAGCGCUUCCUCCUCUAUCGCUGACCUUGGCCUCCGCGGAGUUCCAGCGAGGGGGCUCCUAUGAGGAUGCGGCCGGGCUCCCUACUUGCAAUGAGCAGCGGCGUCCGGCCUCCCUCCAAAUCCGCCCGGAGCCUCCUUCACCAGGUCUGUAUACAAGGGAGGAUAAGCCUCUGAAGAUCUGUUCAUCAGGCCUUGUUGCCUUCUUGCCUUGUUGGAUAUGAAAAGUAAACAUCUUUGAUCUCAGUGUCCCCCUGAAUCUCGUCUAGCUUCCUACCUGUUGCGAUGUAUGCUUCAAUGUCUACAGCAUUCAAUAUGUUCAAAGCGAUCAACAGAGAGAGAUAAAUUAGACAUUGGUUUGUAAACAAAGAGAUCAACAGAGAGAUAUGCAGCAUUUAAUAGCAAAGGGUAAGGUUUCUAAACAUUCUGAUCAUAGAGACCUCAAUUACUGAAUUUGUUUGUUAGGCUUGAUAAGAAAUCAUGUCAGUGUAUCAGAUUAGAUAUGGUUGGUAUGAACUUUCUUUCACAACAGAAAAGUUCAUGAUAAUUUGAUUGGAGUGAACCAUGUAUAGUUAUUCAACAACACUAUUUGGUUUCUACUGAAACUCACUGGAUAUGGUAUGAAAUUGAUGCUACAAGGGAUUGCCCUGCUGGGCCAUCUAGAUUUUUGUAGUCGUACAAUUGUAUUAAGGGAAAUUUUAUAUCAUAUAGAUAAAGCAAAACAGCAAAGUUUCUGACCGCUCGAGAGAACUGUUAUAUCAUAGCUAUUUUUGUGGCCGAUACUUAAAUGAUUUGGAUUGUUCAUGUUCAUGCUCCUUCCUAUUUCAGGUUCUGAUUUCUCCCAUAAUUUAUUUUUCCAGUUCUCUCAGCCUGAGAUGAAGUUUUGUAGUGAGUAUAUAAUGCAUGUGUCUUGGACUCAAUGCUGUGUAGGAAGUUGGAAUUUUUUAGUGAAGAACAACAAUAAUGUCUACAUUUUUAUUUAUUUUCCUCAUGUAGUGAUAACCUUACACUGAUAUUAAAUCUGAUGGGACAAACUUCACCAAAUAAUAUUAGCUUGAUAGCAGAAUGACACUUUAUGUGUGCCUGGUAAAAACAAGCUCCGCAAAGAGGCUAAAGAAAUCUCAUGCGUGUCAGCUGAUGAUUUAUUCAAACUUAUGUUCUGCUCUCAGCUUUUCUUUUUAUUUGGUUGGUAAGAAAUUUAGGUAUGAUGGCAAAUGCACAGCUUCUUGAGGAUGAUGUUUCAAAAGACCAGCUUCUUCAUUUAGCUGGAACACAUGCAACAAAGAAGGUUGAAAACACACAACAGAUGCUUCGUUCUUCCAAAAUAAGAGGUGUUGCUUAACAAGUUUCUAGGUACAAUGUGGGGAGCACAGGCAGCCACAGAGGCACCUUUGGAACCUUUGGCGUAUGCAAGACUGGUUUACCGGUUACUUUCCAAAUGUGUUGGUGUGUUACAGCUUUGAAAAAAAUAUGGUUCUCAAGAAUAGAAGUAUUUGCUAUGUUUCUUGUCUCUUCAUAUUGGAUCAUAUGUACAUGCAGUUUUCUCGAUUUAUGUACAGAAGAGUAUGAGUCAGCUCUCAAGAUGUGAUUAAUUAAUCGUAUUAUGCAUUCUUAUUUGCAGGUUAAAAUUUUGGAUCCCAAGUUCUGGACUAGGAGGAUAAAAUUAAAAAAAUGGAGUGCCUACUUAUGGCAAUGGACUCAUUAGUUCGACCUAGAUGUGCAAUUUAAUAGAAUAUUAUAGAUACAUCUUUACAUCUUGGAGAUUCCAUUUUCUUUCAUUAGAACUUUGUUGUUUUUUGGACGGGCAGUGUGUAACCAUUGCAUUUUGUAUAAAUGUUCUUUUGCGGUCGUGCUCUUCCAGUGACAAUGAAAUCUCAUUUAAUCA